Molecule: ribosomal RNA, 406 nt
Filed under: uncultured bacterium
Lineage: Bacteria
Description: partial 16S ribosomal RNA
Rfam family: Bacterial small subunit ribosomal RNA
Source: RNAcentral
AUUGAACGCUGGCGGCAGGCCUAACACAUGCAAGUCGAACGAGUGGCAGACGGGUGAGUAAUGUCUGGGAAAGUGCCUGAUGGAGGGGGAUAACUACUGGAAAAGGUCGCUAAUACCGCAUACCAUCAGAUGUGCCCAGAUGGGAGUAGCUUGUUGUUGGGGUAACGGCUCACCAAGGCGACGAUCCCUAGCUGGUCUGAGAGGAUGACCAGUCACACUUGAAUCAAGACACGGUCCAGACUCCUACGGUAUGCAGCAGUGGGGAAUAUUGCACAAUGGGCGCAAGCCUGAUGCAGCCAUGCCGCGUGUAUGAAGAAGGCCUUCGGGUUGUAAAGUACUUGCAGCGUGGAGGCGUUACCCGCAGAAGAAACACCGGCUAACUCAGUGCCAGCAGCCGCGGUAAUUC